This 231-nucleotide unclassified non-coding RNA is filed under the name Hevea brasiliensis (rubber tree). Lineage: Eukaryota; Viridiplantae; Streptophyta; Magnoliopsida; Malpighiales; Euphorbiaceae. The record is from RNAcentral.
AGUUGAAUUCUUGUUGAAAAGAAUAAAAUUUUGAAUUUAAUUCAGCAUUUGUCAUCAGAGUUGAAAAGAGAAAGCAUAAAGUUUAAGUAUCUUGAAGCUCUGAUAGUGAUACCAAACUCGUGAAGGACAGCCUGCAGGUGUUAGAAUUAAUGUUGAAAUUUGAUAGUUUAUGACCGCUAGAAAUGAGAAGGAAUUUAGGUAAAGAAUUUAGGAUUUGUGAAAUGAUGGAAU